This 591-nucleotide ribosomal RNA is filed under the name Bipolaris sp. G55-117. Its description in RNAcentral is "eukaryotic LSU rRNA". The stretch from base 190 to 346 matches the Rfam family "5.8S ribosomal RNA". Lineage: Eukaryota; Fungi; Ascomycota; Dothideomycetes; Pleosporales; Pleosporaceae. The record is from RNAcentral.
GGGACAUUAACAAGCGAGAGAUAUGAAGGUCUGGCUUCGCGGCCGGCUGAAGUAUUUUUCUUCACCCAUGUCUUUUGCGCACUUGUUGUUUCCUGGCGCGGGUUCGCCCAGUCCACCAGGACCAAACCAUAAACCUUUUCUUUAUGUAGUUGCAAUCAGCGUCAGUCUAAAAACAAUGUAAUUAUUACAACAUUUCAACAACGGAUCUCUUGGUUCUGGCAUCGACUGAAGAACGCAGCGAAAUGCGAUACGUAGCUGUGAAUUGCAGAAUUCAGUGAAUCAUCGAAUCUUUGAACGCACAUUGCGCCCUUUGGUAUUCCAAAGGGCAUGCCUGUUCGAGCUGUCAUUUGUACCUUCAAUGCUUUGCUUGGUGUUGGGCAGUUCUUUGUCUCUCGUUCUCGGGAGACUCGCCUUAAAACGAUUGGCAGCCGGCCUACUGGUUUCGGAGCGCAGCUACAUAUUUUCGCGGCUUUGGGUAAUCAAGCACGCAAAAACACGGACGGUAAUCCAUCACAACACUAACAUUUUCAUUUUAAACUAUUUAGAACCUAAAAUCAAGUAAGAAUACCCACUUACUUUACAUAUCAAUAA